CCUUCGGGGUACACGAGCGGCGAACGGGUGAGUAACACGUGAGCAACCUGCCCCUGACUCCGGGAUAAGCGGUGGAAACGCCGUCUAAUACCGGAUAUGACACACCAUCUCCUGGUGGUGUGUGGAAAGUUUUAUCGGUCAGGGAUGGGCUCGCGGCCUAUCAGCUUGUUGGUGGGGUAAAGGCCUACCAAGGCGAUUACGGGUAGCCGGCCUGAGAGGGCGACCGGCCACACUGGGACUGAGACACGGCCCAGACUCCUGCGGGAGGCAGCAGUGGGGAAUAUUGCACAAUGGGCGAAAGCCUGAUGCAGCGACGCCGCGUGGGGGAUGACGGCCUUCGGGUUGUAAACCUCUUUUACCACCAACGCAGGCCCCGGGUUCUCUCGGGGUUGACGGUAGGUGGGGAAUAAGGACCGGCUAACUACGUGCCAGCAGCCGCGGUAAUACGUAGGGUCCGAGCGUUGUCCGGAAUUAUUGGUCGUAAAGAGCUCGUAGGUGGCG
This 501-nucleotide ribosomal RNA is filed under the name Nocardiopsis sp. Its description in RNAcentral is "bacterial SSU rRNA". It matches the Rfam family "Bacterial small subunit ribosomal RNA", at positions 77 to 580 of the family's 1533-position model. The record is from RNAcentral. Lineage: Bacteria; Bacillati; Actinomycetota; Actinomycetes; Streptosporangiales; Nocardiopsidaceae.